Molecule: ribosomal RNA, 305 nt
Filed under: uncultured bacterium
Lineage: Bacteria
Description: bacterial SSU rRNA
Rfam family: Bacterial small subunit ribosomal RNA
Source: RNAcentral
CUACCUACGGGGGGCAGCAGUGAGGAAUAUUGGUCAAUGGGCGGAAGCCUGAACCAGCCAAGUCGCGUGAGGGAUUAAGGCCCUGCGGGUCGUAAACCUCUUUUGCCGGGGAGCAGAGGUCCGGACGUGUCCGGGCCGGGAGAGUACCCGGAGAAAAAGCAUCGGCUAACUACGUGCCAGCAGCCGCGGUAAUACGUAGGGGGCAAGUGUUAUCCGGAUUUACUGGGUGUAAAGGGAGCGUAGGUGGCAUGGUAAGCCAGAAGUGAAAACCCAGGGCUCAACUCUGUGGAUUGCUUUUGGAACUA